RNAcentral lists this ribosomal RNA (573 nucleotides) under Triticum aestivum (bread wheat). RNAcentral's name for it is "partial small subunit ribosomal RNA". The record is from RNAcentral. Lineage: Eukaryota; Viridiplantae; Streptophyta; Magnoliopsida; Poales; Poaceae.
AUGCUGCAGGGCCUGGUCCGUUCCCAUGUCUCUGGGAAAGGAGAGGAAGGUGGAGGAGGAGCAACGCUCUGGGGCGAGGGCUCUGAGACGUUCGCCGCCGCGUGCUCCCGCCGCGGCGAGAAGGGCACCAACCAGGACACCUCCAUCGUCUGGGAGGGAUACGGGUGCCAGGACGACACCAUCUUCAGCGGCGUCUUCAACGGGCACGGCCAGUGGGGCCACUACGUCGCCAAGGCCGUCCGGGAGUCGCUGCCGCAGUCGCUUCUGUGCCACUGGCAAGAGGCUGUCGCGCUGGCGUCGCUCAUCGACGGCGAGAAGAGGCUCAGCGACUGCCAGUUCGACCUCCUCAGGCAGUCCUACCUGGCCGCCGCCGCCGCCAUGGACGAGGAGCUCCGCCGGAGCCGGCGCCUCGACGCCGUCAACAGCGGCUGCACGGCUCUGUCCAUCGUGAAGCAGGGCGACCUGAUGGUGGUCGCGAACGUCGGCAACUCGCGGGCCGUCCUUGCGACCACGUUGGACGGGGACAUCACGGCCGUCCAACUCACCGUCGACUUCAAGCCCGACUUACCCUAG